GGGCUCACACAAGCGGUGGAGGAUGUGGCUUAAUUCGAGGCUACGCGAAGAACCUUACCUAGGCUUAACAUGUUUGGGAAUCUCUAUGAAAGUAGAGAGUGCCUUUCGGGAACCCUUACGUAGGUGCUGCAUGGCUGUCGUCAGCUCGUGUCGUGAGAUGUCGGUUAAGUCCCUUAACGAGCGAAACCCUUGUCCCUAGUUGCCAGCGAGUCAUGUCGGGGACUCUAGGGAGACUGCCGGUGUUAAACCGGAGGAAGGUGGGGAUGACGUCAAGUCCUCAUGGCCUUUAUGCCUAGGGCUGCACACGUCCUACAAUGCAACAUACAAAGGGAUGCGAAAUCGCGAGAUCAAGCAAA
RNAcentral lists this ribosomal RNA (356 nucleotides) under uncultured bacterium. RNAcentral describes it as "bacterial SSU rRNA". It matches the Rfam family "Bacterial small subunit ribosomal RNA", at positions 917 to 1271 of the family's 1533-position model. The record is from RNAcentral.